RNAcentral lists this non-coding RNA (1673 nucleotides) under Waltiozyma mucosa. RNAcentral describes it as "Wickerhamomyces mucosus small subunit ribosomal RNA". It matches the Rfam family "Bacterial small subunit ribosomal RNA". Lineage: Eukaryota; Fungi; Ascomycota; Saccharomycetes; Phaffomycetales; Wickerhamomycetaceae. The record is from RNAcentral.
GAAUAUAAAAAUAAUAAUAAAAAUAAAAAUAAAAAUAAAAAUAAAAAUAUAAGAUAAUAAUAAUUAUAAAAUAUGAUAAAAAAUAUAAUAUAAUAAAUAACGGUAUAUUAAAAAAUAUUAAAGCUCUGAUGUCAGGCUAGAUUAAAUACUAUAUAGGGAUAUAACACAUGCAAAUCAAACGAUUAAUAAUAUGUUAUAAAUAAAAAUAUUAAUAAAGUGGUGUAUAGGUGAGUAAAAGAUAAAAUAAGAACUAUUAAUUAAUUUAAAAGAUUAAUAAAAAAUAAAUAUUAUAUUUAAGUAUAUAAUAGUUAAUAGUCAAGUUAUCCAUAGUAUAGGUAUUAUGUAGUUUAAAAGACAUACAUAGCCGACGAUCUAUAAUAAUUAAUUAACGUUAUAAUUAUCACAUCAAUAAAUAUUGAUAUCUAUAUGAUACAGCAGUGAAGAAUAUUGGACAAUGAUCGAAAGAUUGAUCCAGUUACCUAUAAUAACGAAAUUUUAAUAAAAUUAUUAAAAAAAUUAAUAAAAAUAAUAAAAAUUAAUUGGUAAAAAAUAAAGUUAUAAGACUAUGAGAAUAAUGAUAGUAAUAAAAACAAUAAAUAUAUAUAUUAAAUAUAUAUAAAUAUUGGUCUAAUAAGUCUCUGCUAAAAUCUGUGCCAGCAGUAGCGGUUAUACAGAGGAGGCAAGUAUUAAUCAGAUUGGUUUAAAGGAUCCGCAGAAUUUAUCAUUAUUUUUAUGAUAUAGAAUUAAUAAUAGUAACAAAUGAAUUAUAAUAGUAAUGAUGAAAUAUUAUAAUAAUUAUAGGACAGACAAAAUCGAAAGUAUUUGUUAUAUAUUAAUUGACAUUGAGGGAUGAAAGCUAUAAUAAUGAAACGGAUUCGAUACCCGAUUAAUUAUAGCAGUAAACGAUGAAUACUCAAUUAUAUAAUAAUAAAAAUAUAAUUAACGAGAAAUCUUAAGUAUUCCACCAGGAGAGUAUAGUUACUCAAUUGAAACCCAAUACAAUAGACGGUUAUAAUCAAUAGCAGUGGAGUAUGUUAUUUAAUUUGACGAUCCCCAAAAAUCUUACCACAUUUUGAAUAUAUUAAUUAAUAAUAAAUUAAUAAACAGGCGUUACAUAGUUGUCUUCAGUUCGUGCUGUGAAGUUUACGGUUAGUUCCAUUAACGAACGAAUUCCUAUAUAAAUAAAAAAAAAUAAAAUAUUUAUAAUUUACUAUUUAAAUGCAUAGUAAGAAUAGGGUUAAGACAAAUCCUUAUGACCCUAAUAAUGUGGGCUAUAGACGUACUAUAAAAAAAUAAAAAAAAUUCAAUAAAAUAAAUAUAUAAAAAUUCAAUAAAAAAUAAAACUUAUUUUAAUAUGUUGUAUAUAAAUAUACUAUAUUAAUAUGAAUUAUAUUCUGAAAUUCGAAUAUAUGAAAAAAGAAUUGCUAGUAAUCAGUUAUAAAGUAAAUAACGGUGAAUAUUAUUAAUUGUUUCGCACUAAUUACUCGUCACGCGAUAAAUUAUUAUCAAUUAUAAAAAUAUUAAUUAUUUUAAUUUAUAUUUAUUUUUCAAUAAAUUUUAAAUAAUUCUAAUUAUAUUUAAUAGUCGGUUAUAUAUUAUUGCGAAGUCGAAAUACAGUUACUGUAGGGGAACCUGCAGUGGGCUAUAAUUUAUCUAUUUUCAUAUUCAACACA